Symphalangus syndactylus (siamang) is the source of this 2097-nucleotide long non-coding RNA. RefSeq lists it as uncharacterized. Lineage: Eukaryota; Metazoa; Chordata; Mammalia; Primates; Hylobatidae. The record is from RefSeq and is a predicted model, not a curated record.
GGAGUUUUAUCUUGAACUUGCCAGCUCCACAACAGUGAGCAACAAAUUACUAUUAUUUUUUUCUUUCCAGAAUAAAUGAAUUAUGAUACUACCAGGGUCAAAGUGAAUUUGACUUUCAAUUUUAUAUAAUCCACCAAUGACAAUUCUCUUUUUAAACUCUUGGCAGCUCUUUGGGGGAUGGAAGAAGACCAUGAAGCUCUAAGUGCUUCAGAGGAAUGGGGUUGCCAAAACAGAUGUGAGAGGCCCCGAGAGGAGGCUGGGCCACUGCUGAAGGCUGGAGUGCAUGGCAUGAUCCCAGCUCACUGCAAUUUCUCCCUCCUGGGUUCAAGCAAUUCUCAUGCUUCAGCCUCCCAAUAAGCCGGAAUUACAGAAAUUUGGAAAUGGAGUUUACGUAAGCAUUACCUUUCUACUCUUCCUAACUUCUAGGGCCACUACAUGGCAUUUUUUUUUUUUAAUAAAAAGGAAAGAAAAGUCUAAGUAUUUAUUUUGAGCAAAUAUUCUGUUAGCCAUGGGAAAAUGAAAGGUUAUAAAACACUUGUCUUCAAAGAGUUUAUAGUGCAGUUGUAUAGGAAGGCACACCUUCAAAGAAAAUGUCAAUACAACUGGAAGAUGGGCUCUAAGGACCCAGCCUCUCUAAUGGAGGAGGUAACAUUGCCCAAAGAAUCUCUUUCUAGAGAGGACUAAAGCUUCCUCUCUUCGGUUAUAAGAACAUGGCGGGUGCCAAGUGUUCAUCCUGGAGGAUCACCAGAAAAUGAUGGGCCGGUGAAUCUGGAGAAGUACAAAACUGGGUCAGAUAUAGUCAGUUCCUGAGAGAAUCAUGGUACCAUUCACCAAGAUAAGAAAAUCCCAAGGAAAGUGGACAUUAUUUUUCUGAAAAGGAAAAUAAAUGAUUUUUUCUGGACAUGAUUGACUGUGAUCCUGUGGUGAUAUCCUGCAUCAGGUAUCAAAGAAUCAUAAAUCAAUGAACAAUUAAUUUUUGAAGGGAUUUUAGAGGCAAUUAUUGUGUUAAAAUUUUUUUCAUUUUAGACAUAGUGGAAGAUAAAUUUCCAAGAGAUUUAAUAAUUUUGCAAAUGCCACCAAACAAGUUGGUUAUAGAAGUGAGACUAAAAGAUAAAUUCUUUCCUUUUAUGCUACCAGUGUGGGGAAAAGAAAGAGAGAUCAGAUUGUUACUGUGUCUGUGUAGAAAGAAGUAGACAUAAGAGACUCCAUUUUGUUCUGUACUAAGAAAAAUUCUUCUGCCUUGAGAUGCUGUUAAUCUGUAACCCUACCCCCAACCCUGUGCUCCCUGAGACAUAUGCUGUGUCAAUUUAAGGUUAAAUGGAUUAAGGCUGUGCAGGAUGUUCUUUGUUAAACAAUUGCUUGAAGGCAGCAUGCUUGUUAAGAGUCAUCACCACUCCCUAAUCUCAAGUACCCACAGACACAACACACUGAGGAAGGCCGCAGGGACCUCUGCUUAGGAAAGCCAGGUAUUGUCCAAGGUUUCUCCCCAUGUGAUAGUCUGAAAUAUGGCCUCGUGGAAAGGGAAAGACCUGACCGUCCCCCAGCCGGACACCCGUAAAGGGCCUGUGUUUAGGAGGAUUAGUAAAAGAGAAAGGAAUGCCUCUUUGCAGUUGAGAUAAGAGGAAGGCUUCUGUCUCCUACUCAUCCCUGGGCAAUGGAAUGUCUCGGUGUAAAGCCCGAUUGUAUAUUCCAUCUACUGAGACAGGGGAAAACCGCCUUAGGGCUGGAGGUGAGACAUGCUGGCAGCAAUACUGUUCUUUAAGGCAUUGAGAUGUUUAUGUAUAUGCACAUCAAAAGCACAGCACUUUUUUCUUUACCUUGUUUAUGAUGCAGAGACAUUUGUUCACGUGUUUACCUGCUGAUCUUCUCUCCGCUAUUAUCCUAUUGUCCUGCCACAUCCCCCUCUCCGGGAAAUGCCCGAUAAUGAUCAAUAAAUACUAAGGGAACUCAGAGGCCGGUGUUGGCGAGGGUCUUCUGUAUGCUGAGCGCUGGUCCCCUGGGCCCAUUUUUCGUUCUCUAUACUUUGUCUCUGUGUCUUUCUUUUCCAAGUCUCUCGUUCCACCUGAUGAGAAACGCCCAGAGGUGUGGAGCGGCAAC